GACGAACGCUGGCGGCGUGCUUAACACAUGCAAGUCGAACGGUGAAGCGCCUUCUUUUUUGGUGGGUGUGGAUGAGUGGCGAACGGGUGAGUAACACGUGAGUAACCUGCCCCCUUCUUCUGGAUAACCGCAUGAAAGUGUGGCUAAUACGGGAUAUUCUGGGUCUGUCGCAUGAUGGGUCUGGGUAAGAUCUUGUUUCGGUGGGGGAUGGGCUCGCGGCCUAUCAGCUCGUUGGUGAGGUGAUGGCCUACCAAGGCGGUGAGGGGUAGCCGGCCUGAGAGGGUGGACGGUCAUACUGGGACUGAGACACGGACGAGAAUCCUACGAGAGCCAUCAGUCGGGAGUAUUGCACAAUGGGCGAAAGCCGGAUGCAGCGACGCGGCGUGAGGGAUGGAGGCCUUCGGGUUGUGAACAGCUUUCGCCAGUGAAGCGGGCUUGCCUCGUUUGUGGGUGGGUUGACGGUAGCUGGAUAAGAAGCGCCGGCUAACUACGUG
Molecule: ribosomal RNA, 494 nt
Filed under: uncultured bacterium
Lineage: Bacteria
Description: partial 16S ribosomal RNA
Rfam family: Bacterial small subunit ribosomal RNA
Source: RNAcentral